RNAcentral lists this ribosomal RNA (587 nucleotides) under Asterophrys pullifer. RNAcentral's name for it is "Pseudocallulops pullifer partial 12S ribosomal RNA". The stretch from base 1 to 463 matches the Rfam family "Bacterial small subunit ribosomal RNA", at positions 876 to 1533 of the family's 1533-position model. The record is from RNAcentral. Lineage: Eukaryota; Metazoa; Chordata; Amphibia; Anura; Microhylidae.
GGAACUAGCGAGCUCAAACUUAAAACCUAAGGACUUGACGGUGUUCCAUCCCCCUAGAGGAGCCUGUUCUAUAAUCGAUUCUCCACGAUAUACCUCACCACCCCUAGAACAUUCAGCCUGUAUACCUCCGUCGCAAGCUCACCAUGUGAACGCACCCAGUAAGCUCAAGGAUUAAAAUCAAAACGUCAGGUCAAGGUGCAGCCUAUGGAAUGGAAAGAAAUGGGCUACAAUCUCUAUAUUAGAACAAACGGAAAACUGCAUGAAACACAGUUAUUGAAGGCGGAUUUAGUAGUAAAAAGAAAAUAGAGAGUUCUUUUUAACCCGGCACUGGAACGCGUACACACCGCCCGUCAUCCUCUUCAAAUAGUAUAUAUCAUGUUACUAACACAACACACACCCCCCUAGAAGAGGCAAGUCGUAACACGGUAAGCGUACUGGAAAGUGCGCUUGGAAACAAAAUGUAACUUAACGAAAGUACCUUGCUUACACCAAGAACAUGUCCGUGCAACCCAGACCAUUUUGAGCCAAAAACCUAGCCCAUUAAAAUCGUAUAAAAACAACCCCCCCCCCCAUAAAAUGAAUAAAAC